AUUGAACGCUGGCGGCAUGCUUUACACAUGCAAGUCGAACGGUAACAGGUUAAGCUGACGAGUGGCGAACGGGUGAGUAAUGCAUCGGAACGUGCCCGAUCGUGGGGGAUAACGCAGCGAAAGCUGCGCUAAUACCGCAUACGAUCUGAGGAUGAAAGCGGGGGACCGUAAGGCCUCGCGCGAUCGGAGCGGCCGAUGUCAGAUUAGGUAGUUGGUGGGGUAAAGGCUCACCAAGCCAACGAUCUGUAGCUGGUCUGAGAGGACGACCAGCCACACUGGGACUGCGACACGGCCCAGACUCCUACGGGAGGCAGCAGUGGGGAAUUUUGGACAAUGGGCGAAAGCCUGAUCCAGCAAUGCCGCGUGCAGGAAGAAGGCCUUCGGGUUGUAAACUGCUUUUGUACGGAGCGAAAAGGUCCCCUCUAAUACAGGGGGCUCAUGACGGUACCGUAAGAAUAAGCACCGGCUAACUACGUGCCAGCAGCCGCAGUAA
This 493-nucleotide ribosomal RNA is filed under the name uncultured bacterium. RNAcentral describes it as "partial 16S ribosomal RNA". It matches the Rfam family "Bacterial small subunit ribosomal RNA", at positions 29 to 523 of the family's 1533-position model. The record is from RNAcentral.